This 110-nucleotide non-coding RNA is filed under the name Planococcus rifietoensis. RNAcentral's name for it is "TPP sequence". It matches the Rfam family "TPP riboswitch aptamer (THI element)". Rfam says of the family: Vitamin B(1) in its active form thiamin pyrophosphate (TPP) is an essential coenzyme that is synthesised by coupling of pyrimidine and thiazole moieties in bacteria. The previously detected thiamin-regulatory element, thi box was extended, resulting in a new, highly conserved RNA secondary structure, the THI element, which is widely distributed in eubacteria and also occurs in some archaea. Analysis of operon structures identified a large number of new candidate thiamin-regulated genes, mostly transporters, in various prokaryotic organisms. Lineage: Bacteria; Bacillati; Bacillota; Bacilli; Caryophanales; Caryophanaceae. The record is from Rfam by way of RNAcentral.
AAACACAUGUGGGGGAAUCGGUGUUGCCGAUUGAGAGAAUAUCCGUGAGAUAUUGACCCUUGGAACCUGAACUGGCUAAUACCAGCGGAGGGAACAUAUUCAAAUCGGUC